GACGAACGCUGGCGGCGUGCUUAACACAUGCAAGUCGAACGGAAAGGCCCUGCUUUUGUGGGGUGCUCGAGUGGCAAACGGGUGAGUAACACGUGAGUAACCUGCCCUUGACUUUGGGAUAACUUCAGGAAACUGGGGCUAAUACCGGAUAGGAGCUCCUGCUGCAUGGUGGGGGUUGGAAAGUUUCGGCGGUUGGGGAUGGACUCGCGGCUUAUCAGCUUGUUGGUGGGGUAGUGGCUUACCAAGGCUUUGACGGCUAGCCGGCCUGAGAGGGUGACCGGCCACAUUGGGACUGAGAUACGGCCCAGACUCCUACGGGAGGCAGCAGUGGGGAAUAUUGCACAAUGGGCGGAAGCCUGAUGCAGCAACGCCGCGUGCGGGAUGACGGCCUUCGGGUUGUAAACCGCUUUCGCCUGUGACGAAGCGUGAGUGACGGUAAUGGGUAAAGAAGCACCGGCUAACUACGUG
Molecule: ribosomal RNA, 468 nt
Filed under: uncultured bacterium
Lineage: Bacteria
Description: partial 16S ribosomal RNA
Rfam family: Bacterial small subunit ribosomal RNA
Source: RNAcentral